AGGGUUUGAUUGCGGCUCAGAUUGAACGCUGGCGGGAUGCUUACACAUUACAAGUCAGACGGCGACACGGACUUCGGUCUGAAGUGGCGAGUGAACGGGUGAGUAAUGUCUGGAACGUGCCUAGUAGCGGGGAUAACUACGCGAAAGCGUAGCUAAUACCGCAUAUACGCCCUUCGAGGAAACGGGGACCUUUGGGCCUCUGUUUUCUUGAAGCAGCCGAUAUCGGAUUAGCUGAGUUGGUGAGUAACGACUCAUGCGGGCGACGAUCGUAGCUGGUUUGGAGGGACGACCGAGCCACGCAGGACUGAGACACAAUGCCCAGACUCCUGCAGGAGACAACAGUGGGAGUGGACAUCAGGAAGCACUGGUCCAGCCAUCCCGCAGUAUUGCGAUGAAGGCCUUCCGGGUUUUAGCAAGCACUUUUGGCAGGAAAGAAACGGCACGGGAUAAUACCCCAUGCACAGCGUACAACUGACACCUGCAGAAUAAGCACCGGCUAACUACGUACCAGCAGCCGCGGUAAUACGUAGGGUGCAAGCGUUGGUCGGAAUUACUGGGCGUCACAAGCGUGCGCAGGCGGUUCGGGGAAAAGAUGUAGAAAUCCAGAAACGCUGACUUUGGAACUGCACAUUUUUAACUACCGAGAGCUGCGGAGUGUGUCAGAGGUGAAGUGCGCGUGUGAGUAGAAAUGCGUAAGAUAUGCGGAGGAACACCAAAUGGCGAAGGCAGCCUCCUGGGAUAACCAUAGACGUAUCAUGCACGAAAGCGUGGGGAACAAACAGGAUUAGAUACCCUGGUAGUCCACGCCCUAAGCAAUGUCAACUAGCUGUUGGGGCCUUCGGGCCUUGGUAGCGCAGCCGCGUGAGUUGAUGCGCCUGGGGAGUACGGUCGCAAGAUUAAAACUCAAGGAAUUCCGAGCGGGAUGCCGCACCAGGCAGUGGAUGAUGUGGAUUAAUUCGAUGCAGCGAAAACCUUACCUACCCUUGAGCAUACAGGUCCCGAAGUUUGCGGGAGUGCUCAUGAAGGAACCGGAACGCUGAGUGCUGCAUAGCUGUCGUCAGCUCGUGUCUGAGAUGUUGAAGUUCAAGUCCGCAGCGAGCGUGGCCCUUGUCAUUGGUUGAGAACAUCAGGCGAGACUGCCGAUGACAAACCGGAGGAAGGUGGGGAUGACGUCGAUCCUCAAGCAUAUGGGUAGGGCUUCACACGUCAUACAAUGGUCAGGACAGAGGGCCGCCAACCACAGGAGGAGCCAAUCCCAGAAACCCGAUCAUAUUCGUGGAUCACCGGUCUAACAUCGGCCUGCGGCCAGGUCCAGAUCGCUAGUAAUCGCGGAUCAGCAUGUGAUGAACCUGUUGUUGGAGUCAUGUACGCCGCCCGUCACACCAUGGGAAUUGGGUUUUGCAGAAAGUAGUUAGCCUAACCGUAAGGAGGGCGAUUACCACGAUGGAUUCAUUGACCGGGUGAAGUCGUAACAAAGGCAGA
Molecule: ribosomal RNA, 1482 nt
Filed under: uncultured Bordetella sp.
Lineage: Bacteria; Pseudomonadati; Pseudomonadota; Betaproteobacteria; Burkholderiales; Alcaligenaceae
Description: partial 16S-23S ribosomal RNA intergenic spacer
Rfam family: Bacterial small subunit ribosomal RNA
Source: RNAcentral